This 253-nucleotide ribosomal RNA is filed under the name uncultured bacterium. RNAcentral's name for it is "partial 16S ribosomal RNA". It matches the Rfam family "Bacterial small subunit ribosomal RNA", at positions 524 to 776 of the family's 1533-position model. The record is from RNAcentral.
GACAGAGGUCCCGAGCGUUAGGCGGAAUCACUGGGCUUAAAGCGUGUGUAGGCGGAUGCCUAAGUACCUUGUGAAAUCCCACGGCUCACCCGUGGAACUGCUUGGUAUACUGGGUGUCUUGAGCCACUUAGGGGCUACCGGAACAAAUGGUGGAGCGGUGAAAUGCGUAGAUAUCAUUUGGAACGCCAAUGGUAAAAACAGGUAGCUGGGAGUGUGCUGACGCUGAGACACGAAAGCCAGGGGAGCAAACGGG